This 141-nucleotide ribosomal RNA is filed under the name uncultured eukaryote. RNAcentral describes it as "partial 18S ribosomal RNA". It matches the Rfam family "Eukaryotic small subunit ribosomal RNA", at positions 1299 to 1458 of the family's 1831-position model. The record is from RNAcentral.
UGGUGGAGUGAUUUGUCUGGUUAAUUCCGUUAACGAACGAGACCUCCGCCUGCUAAAUAGUAACAAUCUUGCUUGCAAGGUUGGUUAUCUUCUUAGAGGGACACUGGAUUUUUAAUCCAGGGGAAGUUGGAGGCAAUAACA